GCCCAGACUCCUACGGGAGGCAGCAGUGGGGAAUAUUGGACAAUGGGCGCAAGCCUGAUCCAGCCAUACCGCGUGUGUGAAGAAGGCCUUCGGGUUGUAAAGCACUUUAAGCAGGGAGAAAAAGUUAUAAGUUAAUACCUUAUAACCGUGAUGUUACCUGCAGAAUAAGCACCGGCUAAUUCCGUGCCAGCAGCCGCGGUAAUACGGAAGGUGCAAGCGUUAAUCGGAAUUACUGGGCGUAAAGCGCGCGUAGGUGGUUUGUUAAGUUGGAUGUGAAAGCCCUGGGCUCAACCUAGGAACUGCAUCCAAAACUAACUCACUAGAGUACGAUAGAGGGAGGUAGAAUUCAUAGUGUAGCGGUGGAAUGCGUAGAUAUUAUGAAGAAUACCAGUGGCGAAGGCGGCCUCCUGGAUCUGUACUGACACUAAGGUGCGAAAGCGUGGGUAGCGAACAGGAUUAGAUACCCUGGUAGUCCACGCCGUAAACGAUGACAACUAGCUGUUGGGAGACAAUGUCUUUCAGUGGCGCAGCUAACGUUUUAAGUUGUCCGCCUGGGGAGUACGGCCGCAAGGCUAAAACUCAAAUGAAUUGACGGGGACCCGCACAAGCGGUGGAGCAUGUGGUUUAAUUCGAUGCAACGCGAAAAACCUUACCUACUCUUGACAUACUUGGAAGCUCUUGUAAUGAGAGUGUGCCUUUUGGAGCCAAGAUACAGGUGCUGCAUGGCUGUCGUCAGCUCGUGUCGUGAGAUGUUCCGUUAAGUCGGAUAACGAGCGCAACCCUUACCCUUAUUUGCCAGCGAUUCGGUCGGGAACUAUAAGGGGACUGCCGGUGAUAAACCGGAGGAAGGUGAGGACGACGUCAAGUCAUCAUGGCCCUUACGAGUAGGGCUACACACGUGCUACAAUGGGGAAUACAGACGGACGCUAAGCCGCGAGGUGGUGCUAAUCCUAUAAAGUUCUUCGUAGUCCGGAUUGGAGUCUGCAACUCGACUCCAUGAAGUCGGAAUCGCUAGUAAUCGCGAAUCAGCAUGUCGCGGUGAAUACGUUCUCGGGUCUUGUACACACCGCCCGUCACACCAUGGAAGUGGAUUGCACCAGAAGUAGAUAGUCUAACCUUCGGGAGGGCGUUUACCACGGUGUGCUUCAUGACUGGGGUGAAGUCGUAACAAGGUAGCCGUAGGGGAACCUGUGGCUG
Molecule: ribosomal RNA, 1197 nt
Filed under: metagenome
Description: bacterial SSU rRNA
Rfam family: Bacterial small subunit ribosomal RNA
Source: RNAcentral